Ictalurus punctatus (channel catfish) is the source of this 1545-nucleotide long non-coding RNA. Lineage: Eukaryota; Metazoa; Chordata; Actinopteri; Siluriformes; Ictaluridae. The record is from Ensembl.
GUUCCACCAAACAAAAUGAAGAACACAUACUAUUUCUAUAGGAACGGGAGAGUGAAUGUUUCUUCACCAAUGUAAGCGGAAGAUGUGUGCGAGCCUAAUUUGCGGCGCUGGCGCUGCUGUCGGUAAGAGAUGCGAUGUUGAGCGCCAUUUCACUCAAGUUCAUGGUAACUUUACACCGGACUUUCCUGUGGGUAGCGGGCUACGAACUGGAAAAGUGAAACAGCUGAAAGCAACAUUACAAAAACAACAAUCUUUAUUCACCAAACCGAUAAAGAGAGGAAAUUCUGUAACAGAGGCAUCACUUAAAGUGACAAAACAUAAGAAGCCGUUCACCGAUGGCGCAGCGGUGAAGGAAGGAGAUGACUGCGAUGGCUGAAACUUUGUUCAGGGACCACAAAAGCAAGGCAGAAAUGAAGUCCGCUAUCGCUGAUGUCCAGCUCAGUGCCAACACGUUGGCAAGGAGAGUUUCCUUGCUUUCUUCAGAUGGAUGGGACAGUUAGAACAGGACCUGCACAGGUGUCACUGGUUUUCAUUUCAAUGUGAUGAAUCGGUGCACUUGAGUGAUUCAGCCCAGUUGGUUGUUUUUGUCCGGAUCGUUUUUCAUGAUUUUUCCACCAAAGAGGAGUUUUUUAUUAUUAUUAUUAUUUUGUUUACAUCCUCUGAAAACCACAACCAGAGGAGUCGACAUCUACAACGUUUUGCAGAACUACUUCAUGGAAAAAAAGCGUGUCCCUUGAAAAGCUGGUUUCUAUGACAACAGACAGGGCCAGUCGUGAUAGGGCGCCACUCUGUGGAGUUAUUGCACAUUGCAAGGCCGGACCCAGACUUUCCUAAAUUUCUGAACCAUCACUGCAUCAUUCAUCAGCAGGCGAUCUGCACUAAGGUUAUGGGUUUUGAUCAUGUCAUGAAACCGGUUAUUCGGAUUAUCAACUCGAUUCGAGCAAAGUCCAAACAACACAGAUGUUUCAAACUGUUUCUUGAUGAAAUUCCUGCAGAGUAUGGCGAUCUCCUCCGUCACACAGAAGUCAGAUGGUUGAGUAGGAGUAAGGUACUUCACCGCUUUGUUUCCUUGCUGAGGGAAAUUAAGGCUUUUAUAGAAGCAAGGAGGAGGAUACUAACCUGUUGUCUGAUGCCGGAAGGCUGCUUGAACUUGCAUUAUUGAGUGAUGUGACAGAGAAACUGAAUCAGCUCAAUCUUCAGUAACAAGCUCCUGCCCAGCCUCUACCCCCCGUCACUCCUGCCCCAGCUACUGCUGCCCCUGCUCCUCCUAGUGGUGGUAGUAGCAGUGGUGGCAAGGCUAAUGGACUUUACCCCGACCCCAGCAAUACGAACCAGUUCUACAACUGCGACAGUGGCAAGGCCUACUUGGAACACCGUGCCACUGGCCUGGUCUUUGAUGCUAGCUGCUCUUGCUGCAACUGGUCUUAAAUCCAAGUUCAUAAAUCUGAGUGCUUAUAAACUGCUCUCGUCUUGAUUGAUCUGAGUUGUCUUUAGUCAUGUUCAUUGAUGUUCUGAAAUAAAAAUAAACCAGCAAAAUAAACUGCA